UACGUAGGGGGCAAGCGUUGUCCGGAAUCAUUGGGCGUAAAGAGCGUGUAGGUGGCCCGGUCAGUCCGCCGUGAAAGUCCAGGGCUCAACCCUGGAAUGCCGGUGGAUACUGCCGGGCUGGAGUCCGGGAGAGGGUAGUGGAAUUCCCAGUGUAGCGGUGAAAUGCGUAGAUAUUGGGAGGAACACCGGUGGCGAAGGCGGCUACCUGGACCGGUACUGACGCUGAGGCGCGAAAGCUAGGGUAGCAAACAGG
This 253-nucleotide ribosomal RNA is filed under the name uncultured bacterium. Its description in RNAcentral is "partial 16S ribosomal RNA". It matches the Rfam family "Bacterial small subunit ribosomal RNA", at positions 524 to 776 of the family's 1533-position model. The record is from RNAcentral.